AACCAAGAUGAACAGAGAAAGUGAGUUAGCGAGGCAGUUGCAAGAAUGGACGACACAAUAAAUGAACUUCAACUUACAGUCCUCCCAUUCAGCAGCAUUAUAUCCAGUGUAGUUGAGAGCCUUGUAAAGGACCAGGAUCCGCAAUAUGGCAAUGUGUGACACAACAUGUAACAUCCACAGACUGAGAGUACAUUAUUACAGCCUGCAUAUGGACGCUGAACAGUGGAGACAGUAAAAGGCAACCUGGCAUUGUAUCCUCAUAUAAACUACGCACACUGAAAAUAGUUAAAGUUAAGAGUGAAGGUACCAUCAGGUUUUCAACAGCAAGCGCCAUAAGGUCACCCUCCUUGACUGCGUGAAAUCUACUCACGCCCUGGCACGGUAUCAGAAAUAUGCGCGGUAUCUCCACAACAGAUGGUGUGGUGCAUUGAAAAUAUCAUAGCAGUGUAACUGGUAAACAGAGGUUCAAGUAUGAUGGUGGUGAAGUGAUGGAUCUGGCCAGACAGCCGUCCAUUUACAAGAAUGUACAUCAGGUAAUGCAGAUAUUUGGACAACUGAAAGCCAGAUUGGAUGGCCAGCUGUAUGCCCGCAAGGAAAGUAAAACGUACACUUUCCAGCCAACCAGCGACACUCCAUCCACCAGAUCACUCCCACAUCUGUCCAGCGGGCAUGUGAGUUGACACUACUGUGGCCGCUCAACAUUGACACUAUUGGUGAAUCACAGCUAGAGUUCAGCCAACAUUCACAAAACAGAGAAAGGUUUUAUCUUGAGGCCAUGGCAUCGGAAGACUUAGAAAAGAUGUCUUUCUUGGGAACCUUCAUUAUGGUCACUAAACUAAGAGUUUCAAGCAAGCACCACAAUAAGCUACUGACAUGGAUGGCUAUCGCUGAGGAAGAAGACUUUGAUGAAAAGCAUACUCUUUGGUGGCGCUGAACUGACAUGUGGAAAAAUAUGAGAGCACAGAUUGCCAGACUGGAUGGGGACACACCAGAAAAGAGAUUUGUAAAUCUAACUGGAGGCUGAUGGAAGAACCCAGAAUGUGACUACGGGUAUGUUCUGGAAUGAUUCAACACACAUGCAAAAGUGACGAUGAAGAAUCGAGGAUCAAAUCAUUCUGAGAGCAUUGUUGAUAAAACAGGGAAUACCAUCACAUUGACCAAGAACUUUGUGUUACACUUAAACUAUUUUAGGUCUUUGGACACACAAAAGCUGCAUAUAAAUAUUACAUUACCCGGUAAAAUGGAAAGAAAACACAAUGUGUGCGCAACAAAACAGUCAUUGAAAGAGUCACAUAUAUUAUUUAAUGCUUGUGGUAUUUUAGCAUAUCCUCAUAAUUGUAUGUAUGUGCAUUUAUUUGCAUUUUCUCAUGACAACUUAUUAUACCCCCACAAACAAAGUUUGAAGGGGUAUAUAGGAGUGAGCUUGUCAUUCGGUCGGUCUGUCGGUUUUCAUGGUUUCCGGACGAUAACUCAUGAAAGGCUAGACAGAUUUGAAAAUAUUUUGGUACACAGGUGUAACAUCAGAAGAUACAGGUCAAGUUCGAUAUUGGGGCUGGUUGGGCCAAGGUCAAGGUCACUUACUAAAAAUAGAAAAACGGUUUCCUGACGAUAAAUCAUGAAAGGCUUGACAGAUUUGAAAAAAUUUUGGUACACAGGUGUAACAUCAGAAGAUACAGGUCAAGUUCGAUAUUGGGGCUGGUGGGGCCAAGGUCAAGGUCACUGUUACUAAAAAAAGAAAAACGGUUUCCGGACGAUAACUCAUGAAAGGCUAGACGGAUUUGAACAAUUUUUGGUACACAGGUGUAACAUCAGAAGAUGCAGAUCAAGUUAGUGAGCUUGUAGGUCGGUCGGUCGGUUUUCAUGGUUUCUGGACGAUAAGUCAUGAAAGGCUAUACAAAUUUAAAACAAAUUUGGAACACAGGUGUAACAUCAGAAGAUACAGGUCAAGUUUGAUAUUGGGGCUGGUGGGGCCAAGGUCAAGGUCACUGUUACUAAAAAAGAAAAACGGUUUUCGGACGAUAACUCAUGAAAGGCUAAACGGAUUUAACAAUUUUUGUAGUGCUUACUACAAAUAUUGACCUGUCAGAUGGACUUGUUAAUUCGGCUACAGGAAAAGUCUCGGGAUUUAUUCCCAGGUGGAUGAGGAUGCAUUCAAGCCCAAAUAUGUACUUGUAAAAUUUGAUGAUGAUCGUGUUGGAAGAAAAGCUAGUGAAUGCUCUAGAUGUCUUAUUCCAGAAGAGAUCAUCUAGUUUUUCUUGUCAGCAAUGUAACUUCUAAAUUAUUCAACAGAUUUAAAUUAAACAAUACAUGCAUGAUAAAAGAAGAUGCAGUGUGCAGUAACCUUGGAGUUAUGGCCUCUUUUCAAAGGAAUGGUUUGCCAUUCCUGUGUCCAGGCGGCAUUUGGGGGUAUUUGUCACUCCUGUGACAGCUCUAGUUUAUUUCUAUUUGUAUUCAACCUACAUCGGUUUUGUUUUAUGUGACUUGUUGAAUUCAUAUUUGUAAAUGUAUUUGUUGUUAUUUGACUCUGUACUGUGAUGGUAUCAUCUUAUACAAUUCUGUUCUGUUCUAAUCAGAAUAUUAUUUGAGUGAUUGUUAAGUUGAAGUAUUAGGUGCUACUUCCAAUCAAAAUGGAAAUUCAAUUUCAAGUCAAAAUAACAUUUUGCCAGGUUGUCAUUUAAACUGAUUAUGGUUUAAACUUUAUGAUUGUAAUACUAUAUUUUAUGUGAUUUACAUACCAUUUUAAAGCUCAAUAAUAAUUAAGACUGUAACUUAUGAUGAUUUCAAUGCAAAAUGUUCCACAUUUUAAUAUAUUUUCGAAAUUCAUUCUUACACAAAAUUUUAUUACUGGUAACGAAAAUGCCAUAUAUGAGCUAACACUUUUAAAUAAUUUGUUUAGAAAAGAAUACAUGAUCAAUUCAAACACAUCUCACAAAGUAUCUCAAUGAUCUAAUAAUAUUGUUUUUAGAUAAUAUCAAAAUUUCUUUAUUGUCAUAAGACUUUAACCAAAAAAAAUCAACUGUUUAUGCUUAAAACUUUUAAAUCUAAUUUCACUAUUAAAAUGUGGGAGAUGAACUUCGAGUUAGGCAAUGACUUUUAAAUGCCAGCCAAGAUCUGUUACCUAGAAAAUUAUCUCUUGUGUUGUGUAAAUAUAAAUAAAUAAUUAAAUAAGAUACCUAUUGAAACAAGUUAUAAUAUUGACAAAAAAAUGCAAAAUAAUGCCAUCUUUGUGAUAUCUUGGUAAAAACAAGUGUUGCUGAAUUUAUUUAUUUGUUCAAAUGUCACUUUUUUCAAGAUAUUAAAAGUAAACAUAUAUCACAAUAUUUUGUAAAUUACCAAGGCUCUUACACGUUUAACAACUCAUGAAUGGUAAUGAUCAAUUAAAAUCCAUUGGAACUCUGCCUCUUUUGUAAUACAAAAUUUAUUCAUUCAUUCUCAUUCAUGUACACGGUAUUAUACACACCAUUUGGUGACGUUUAUACCAUUUUUGCUAAUGAGAACCUUAAAAUUAUACCAUACUUUUGCAUAAAGUCGAACUAUAACAUUUAAAUGACAUAGGCAGUAGUUUACAGGGCUUCCAUUAAGAAUUUGAAACUGAAAGUAUGAACUUCCUGACCAUCAAUAUUGGAAGUUUUACAUUGAAAUUUGGAAGUUACAGUUUCUCUUCAUACAAUUUUUUCCAGUAUUUUUUAAAUAGUAUGUUAAAAAUCAAAUAAUUUGAAAUUAUAUCUUGCCAGAUUCACAGAUUAAUGUUAUAAUAAUUCAUUUUACUUCAAGACUGAUUGAAAUUGUGAGCAUAUAAGUAAUACUGACACAAGGUUUUGAUAUUUUGAACUUCCAAGCAUUUGGCUUUGGAAGUUUUCUUCAAAAUUAUGGAAGUUUUUGUACUUCCAAGAAAUUAAGUUUGGAAGUUUUAACCCAUUUUUAGGGAGUAGUAUACUUCCAAACUUCCUUUAACGUAAGAAUUGAGCUUAUAUAUUAAUUAAUAAGAUGGUUACAAAAACAUGUUGUUAAUGAUGUAUUUGGGAUAUUGUUUACUUAAUACACCUGAAAGUCAAAGUCACACUAUGUCACACAAGUUUUUCCUUUGACGUCAUACUGUGUUUUAAACUUUGCAUAUCUUAGACUGUAAUUAAAACAUUAAUAAAUAGUCUUUCAAUGGUAAUAACUGUGUCUACAACUGCAUAACAAAGUAUAUUUGUAUUUUAAUUCCAAAAUUGUAAUGUUCGUGUCAUUAAUACAUGUUCUCACUACAUUAGCUCAUACAUGUUUUAUAUAUUGAAUUGUGGCCGAUUAUGCCGGUUUGUUUAUCUUUCUUUUAUUACAAGGGCAUUACAUCAUUUUUAUAACUUGCGCUCUUAUAUUGAAACAAAGGCACACAUGCAGUUAACAUGCAGUAGAGAGUAAAUUAUUCUUGUUUUUCACAUCCUUGAGAGUAAUAUAUAUGCAUUUUGAAUUAUUAAAUUACUCUUUUUGUCAGAAAAUAUGAUAAUAUGAUGGUGUUUAAAAGGCUGUAUUGUAUGGUAAAUAUAAGUUACAUUCAGUAUACUGUUAAACCUGUCAGUGUACAUAAAUUAUAUAUGGUAGAUGUUGAUUAAUUGCAUUUGUAUUUAGUCAGAAUAAACCAAACCUUUAUAUAUAUAAUGGAUUUUUUUGUAAUAUUUUCUGAAUAAUACCAGUACAGAGAAUAGUGUUAAGCAGUCUCACUCCUACCAUAGUUCUUAGUCUUAGAAGUUUGGGCUAAUUUUCAAUGUGAGACUUUGAACGAAUGCAUUUUGCAAGCCAUGUAGUAUAAAACAACAGACCAGACCAAUUGAUUUCAACACUUUUAUUAAUUACUUUUAUUACACUCAUAUACAUUAGUAGCAACAAGAAUUCUGGUUUCCAUUCAAAACAGUGUCUUGGACCAAGGUCUCCAUGCAGAUAUUUUAUGUACCCAAAUCUGUAGGCCUGUACUGUUAGGGGUAAACUACUUUUGUGGUAAAAACGUACUGGUCAAGAACCAUCUACCACUCUACAUACAUGUUAAUUCGAGGACAAAAACACUAUUAAGCGGGACCUUUUGUAUUAAAUGUUUUACUAAUAAUUUAGUUUAUUUUUCAAAAAAAUAAAUAAUGACAAGUGCAGUUCAGUAUAUUUGGAUGCCAUAAUCUGAAACAUAACAACACCGAUGAUGAAAAACUUCUUUAACCCUUAA
Mya arenaria is the source of this 5194-nucleotide long non-coding RNA. RefSeq lists it as uncharacterized. The record is from RefSeq and is a predicted model, not a curated record. Lineage: Eukaryota; Metazoa; Mollusca; Bivalvia; Myida; Myidae. The transcript is spliced from 10 exons.